This 2058-nucleotide long non-coding RNA is filed under the name Apis mellifera (honey bee). RNAcentral describes it as "uncharacterized LOC102654998, transcript variant X2". Lineage: Eukaryota; Metazoa; Arthropoda; Insecta; Hymenoptera; Apidae. The record is from RNAcentral.
AAAAUUAUUUUUGAAAUGGAUAGUAGCAUAAAUGUUUCGAGUAUAUCGAGUUGUCAAUCUAAUCUAACCUAACCUAAUUUAACUAAUUUUUCUAGGUUUAUAUAAUAAUAUUUUAAAGUAUUUAAAGAAAAACAGAAAUAAAGAAAAGAUUCGUGUCCAGAUGGAGAUAUACACGUUAUAUUUUAUAUUUUAUAUUUUAUAUAUAUUCACAAGAUCCAGUUCCUGGCCAUAAAAUGUAAAUAAUUGGAGGGCGAUCGAUAAUCUAUUUCAUGCAUGAUAAAAUAAUCGAUUUGUAAAAUUGGAUUAACAGGACACGCCACGACGAGUUUCGAGUAAAAAUUAAUAAACAGAUUGUUGACCGCGAUAAACGGCUUUUGCACGUCCACGCCGUGCGAUUCAAUUCAGUUUUCUAGAAAAUACAGUAUAAAAAUAUAUAUAAAUUCUAUCAGGGAAAAGCAUCGAGAUUUGGCUGAAACUAAAGAUGACAAAAAGAAGGUCAAUGACUAGGGAAUUUUUUGCCAGAAUCAAGGCGGUCUAAUUGAACGAAUCUUGGAAGGUGUGCAGUCCUAACGAUAAAAGAAAAUAACUUGGGAAGUAUUUAUGCAAAUACGCGCCUUUGCAUGGUGCAUGCAAAUCAACUUUAUCGAAGGUGGCACGACACGAAGGUGGUUCACCCUUUCGCGGAAGAAACGUCUCUCCCCCGGAUUGGCCGCGUUUGGCGGGAGCGGAAACGCGAUUACCUUAAAGCUGGAGGCCCUUCCUCGUGCAACGUGUAGAAAACGGAAUCGAAUAUCCAGCUUGAUUCUCAUCGAGACCUAAUUAUCGAUCGGUGGAAAGGCUCCCUCGUGAGCACAAUUUACGUAUUGAUUUACGUAUGCGUCGUAUCCUCUGUGUGCAAAGGGAUUCCUCGUACAUUGACUCACGGGCUGGCAGCCGUGCUAAAUGCAGUUGCAACUCUGCCCCUGGCUCUGUUCCAGCUCUGUACAACUGUAUUCCGCCUCGAUGGAUUCGGUAAUCGAGGUCAGUGUACCCCUUCAUCUCGCCUCGCUAUCUAUUUGCAGAGUGAUUUAAAUGCGCGACCCCUUCGCCGAACUUUGGCCCCCAACUUUGACCGGAAACAAUGCUCGAAUAUUUCCCAUGGAAGAACACUUUUUCCCUUUAAUCUUUUGUUAUUUAUAAUUCGAGGGAAAAGGCGAAGGGGAAAAAGAUAGGAUGGAUUUUGCGCGCGAGAAAUGGAGGUAGAAGAUUUUUUUAUCAAUUUUCUAUUCAAAGAAAGAAGAUGAAGGAAAAGACAGGAUAGAGAAAUGUACUGAAGGAGUAAAAAAUUGUGAUUUUUCAAAGAAAUGAAAACGAGGACAAAAGGAUAGAUGCAUUUUAUUUAAAAAAAAUUGGUCGGUUAAGUGAAAUUUGAACGAAUAAUUGGAUUGGUGGCAAGAAGGAAGUGAAGGAACUAUUGAAUGAAGAUGCGCGAGGCGCGCAAGGAUGGACGUGAUGAAAACAAUCGUGGAAAUAGUUCAUUUCAAUCUGGAGAAUCGAUAAAUGGGUCACCGCAGGUCGUCGGGCAAUAUCUCAUGUAUCCACGACUCGAGUAUCAACUGGGUCAUUCGACUGUAGCGAGAAUGGACGACAAAAGUGACAAACUAUCCCCGAAGAAACCAUUAUUCUAUAUCGCCUCUUCCAAGACCUGGCACAACAAUCUUCAGCUAUCAAAUGUUAUUUACCCGACACCUACGCCAAGAGGAAAACAAUUGACAAACGAGCCAACCUAAUUGAACUAUCCUCCAUUAACAACACAGCAUGUAUCUCAAUCCACCCACCAUUCCCGGAGAAAAUGUCGCGGAAGUCGCAAGACGCCGCCUGUAUUUACACUAUACUCAUCACUAUCCAUUAUCCACGAUAAUUGAAUCACUUCCGAUUAAAACUUGCCAAUUAUCUUAUAUAAAUUCAAUUGUACAUUCCUCCAAGAAAUUCUCUUCAUUCAAAAAUAACCAAAGGUUGAACAAAAAGAGAAGAAAGAUUUAGUGGAUUGAAUUCAAACUUAAGUCUAUAAGAUGAGGA